GACGAACGCUGGCGGCGUGCUUAACACAUGCAAGUCGAACGAAGUGGCGAACGGGUGAGUAACGCGUAAUCAACCUGCCCUUCAGAGGGGGACAACAGUUGGAAACGACUGCUAAUACCGCAUACUGAAGGAGGGGAUUUCGUGUGAUUAGCUGGUUGGGGGGGUAAAGGCCCACCAAGGCGAAGAUCAGGAGCCGGUCUGAGAGGAUGAACGGCCAAAAUGGGACUGGGACACGGCCCAGAACCCUACGGGAGGGAAGAGUGGGGAAUCUUCCGCAAUGGACGAAAGUCUGACGGAGCAACGCCGCGUGAGUGAUGACGGCCUUCCGGUUGUAAAGCUCUGUUAAUCGGGACGCGGUACCGGAAUAGAAAGCCACGGCUAACUACGUGCCAGCAGCCGCGGUAAUUC
RNAcentral lists this ribosomal RNA (408 nucleotides) under uncultured bacterium. RNAcentral's name for it is "partial 16S ribosomal RNA". It matches the Rfam family "Bacterial small subunit ribosomal RNA", at positions 28 to 526 of the family's 1533-position model. The record is from RNAcentral.